GACGGAGGGGGCAAGCGUUGUUCGGAAUUACUGGGCGUAAAGGGCGCGCAGGCGGUCAUGCAAGUCGGGGGUGAAAGCCCACGGCUUAACCGUGGAAUUGCCUUCGAAACUGCAUGACUUGAGUACGGAAGAGGAGAGCGGAAUUCCCAGUGUAGCGGUGAAAUGCGUAGAUAUUGGGAGGAACACCAGUGGCGAAGGCGGCUCUCUGGUCCGAUACUGACGAUGAGGCGCGAAAGCCAGGGGAGCAAACGGG
This 253-nucleotide ribosomal RNA is filed under the name uncultured bacterium. RNAcentral's name for it is "partial 16S ribosomal RNA". It matches the Rfam family "Bacterial small subunit ribosomal RNA", at positions 524 to 776 of the family's 1533-position model. The record is from RNAcentral.